RNAcentral lists this long non-coding RNA (336 nucleotides) under Mytilus galloprovincialis (Mediterranean mussel). Lineage: Eukaryota; Metazoa; Mollusca; Bivalvia; Mytilida; Mytilidae. The record is from RNAcentral.
AAAACACUAAUCGAGAAACACGGAAGGAUAUCCCCCUUUUAUACAUUUUUAUUAGGAAUUUGACCUGUUACACUCUGGUUAAGUCUGGUGAACUUCCGUAUUCAGUUUGAUUUGUUUUUAUCUGUUCAUGAGUUUCGAUCAUUUCCUGUUUGAUGUUUUCCCAGUUUGCUUUCCUGAUUAGGAGGAAUAUCCGGGUAUUUUGUUUCAUAGAUUAAUGUUUUGUUGUCUAUGUCGCCGAGGCAAUGAUGUGGUUAAAAGCACCAAAAUUCCUUUCGUGAUUACAGGUUCACUACUCGUAUUUUUAAUAUUGUUAUGAAUGUGUCUAAAGGUUUGAUA